Molecule: long non-coding RNA, 1599 nt
Organism: Scleropages formosus (Asian bonytongue)
Lineage: Eukaryota; Metazoa; Chordata; Actinopteri; Osteoglossiformes; Osteoglossidae
Source: Ensembl
GAUUUUCAAGAACUACAUUAGUCUAUAGCAGCAGAAAGUCAGAGCCCCAGGAUGAUGAGAAAACUCUUCACUCUGCGUAAAAACAUAUUCCGCAGAGCCAGUGAGGAUGAACAGGAUAUGGAAAACCUUGCAAACUCUUCCGAGAGUAACUCUGGGAAGCUCGAGGACAAGGCAUCCACUCCCAAGGUCAGGGGUGUGUCAUUUACACCUUCGCACUUCUUGAAUGUUUCACCGGUUGUCCUUUCAUUGCUUCAGCAUCUAAAUGAUGAGGAAUGGGACAGAAUUGAGGAAAGCAUGCACAGCUCUAUGACAAGAAGUCGGUUCACUACACUGUGCACAGACAUCGUAGGAUGGGUGUCAGAAGCAGCCACAAGAAUCAUCUUACCGGCACUUGCUCUUGUGCUGGAUGUCACCAUCACUGAGAGCAGUUCUUCCUCGCCUAUAUCAAGCAAACUGGCAAGACGUUCCAGUUCAAAGGAGUCUUGCGAUGAAAAAACCACAACAAGCAUUUUCAACGCAGAGGCAGAGACUCCAGUCUCAGGAGCUGAACGGACUGCUAGCAAUAUUGUAGACAUUGUCCUGCACUGGAUUAGUGAAGAUGUAGAGCAGAUUUCACCUGCUGCUCCCAGAAUGUGUAAAUCAGGUUCAGAUCUGAGGUUUGAUAUGCUGCUCUCUAAAGAAAACAUUCAAAUGUUGUCACCGCAGCUUGUUGGCAGAGUGCACCGCCUCAUAAUGGAGGACAACAGUGCCCUCCCUGUCAUUACAUUAGCAGCACGCAGAGUCAACUCUGAUUCGGCAGUUUCGAAGGGACGAGGUGGAAGGUUGGAGCUCGCCAGGGAAGCUUUCUCUGAGUUAGUUUACAUAUUCACGGAGAAAUGUGUGAGGAAGCUGUUGCAGGAAUGCCUCUACUGUCUUCCUCAUCCUCCUCACUCCGAUAAUUUUGAAGAUGUAGUUUGUACCACUCCUGUAACUUCCAGCAGUCUGGUGCAGGUCAUGCCAAGUCUACCAUUUCAGAGUGACAUUUCAGCCAUUCCCAGUGGACAAAGCCCCAAAAAAAUUUCAACAACGUCUGCAAGUUCAAGCACUCUCAUACAGGUUAUGCCAAGUCCAGCAUCUCAGAAUGAAUUUUCGAACCUCCACGUUGGACAAAGCACCCAGAAAGCCUCAAAGCCCUCCUUAGAACUCAGCAGUCCAAGCAUAGAAUCAUUAAUUACAGUUAUGGCCCAAGAAGUGAUGAAACUACUUCCAGAGAAGAUAGAUGACUGUAACCAAGUUUGGGAGUUCCUUGAGACUAAAGACAUCUGUGAGUCCACACCUCUUUCAUCAGCUGUAAAAUAUUCUGGUGUCAAUAACACAAAGGCCACAAACCACAGAUCUAGCAGUGGCUCUAAGGUUGAGGUGGACCCCAUAUCUGGGUCUGAGGCAGGACUGAAGAACGGGAAGAAAUUCUAAAAGCAGUGGAGUGAACGUGACCUAUGUUUCUUCAUCGAGCCAAUGGAAAGCAGUUAAACCACACCCAAUUAAAAAAAGUGUGGAACAACAGGUGUGUUGCUGCCAAGGAUAUGAAAAUAAGGAUAAUAAAGGAAGUUUAAAGUGCCA